UACGUAGGGUGCGAGCGUUGUCCGGAAUUAUUGGGCGUAAAGGGCUCGUAGGCGGUUUGUCGCGUCGGGAGUGAAAUCCACUGGCUUAACUGGUGGCUUGCUUUCGAUACGGGCAGACUGGAGGUAUGCAGGGGAGAACGGAAUUCCUGGUGUAGCGGUGAAAUGCGCAGAUAUCAGGAGGAACACCUAUUGCGAAGGCAGCUCGCUGGGACGUAACUGACGCUGAGACGCGAAAGCGUGGGAGCAAACAGG
RNAcentral lists this ribosomal RNA (252 nucleotides) under uncultured bacterium. Its description in RNAcentral is "partial 16S ribosomal RNA". It matches the Rfam family "Bacterial small subunit ribosomal RNA", at positions 524 to 776 of the family's 1533-position model. The record is from RNAcentral.